Lemur catta (Ring-tailed lemur) is the source of this 445-nucleotide long non-coding RNA. RefSeq lists it as uncharacterized. Lineage: Eukaryota; Metazoa; Chordata; Mammalia; Primates; Lemuridae. The record is from RefSeq and is a predicted model, not a curated record. The transcript has 3 exons.
CUGGAUAACGCAGUCAGUAAACAGAAAAGGCUGGAAGAGGCUUCUCAGCACCCCAGAGGCACCUGACAGUAUGUGGUGCAGCAGCAACACCAGCUGGUCACACAGGCUUGCUCCAGAAGGUCCCUCCCACCACCGUUCCUACUCCACACUGACAGAGGGAAAGCAUCAGCUUCUCAGACUAUAGACUCACCAAGAGCUCAAAUGCUCCUUCAGUAAAAUGCUGAGCCUCCAGCCUUCAUGUUUUCCAGCUGAGGUCCCAGACAUCUUGGAGGAAACAAGCCAUCUAUGCUCUAUUUGAAUUCCUGGCCCACAGAAAAUGUGACACGUAAUAAAUGAUUAUUGUUGUUUUAAGCAACAGUGUUUGGGGGUAACUUGCUGUGUAGCAAUAAAUAAGUAAUAUAUACAAUAAUACCCCAGUAUAGUAUCUGAAAACAGGUGAUCAAUA